Long non-coding RNA from Oncorhynchus tshawytscha (Chinook salmon), 1908 nucleotides. RefSeq lists it as uncharacterized. NCBI's taxonomy places the organism in Eukaryota, Metazoa, Chordata, Actinopteri, Salmoniformes, Salmonidae. The record is from RefSeq and is a predicted model, not a curated record. The transcript has 3 exons.
UUGUAACAAUGCUGAGGGCUCCAUAUAGCUCUGUAUUGACACGAUUGGUUGAAGGUAGACGCGGGGGGGCUUACAUCCUGUAUAAAAAACAAAUUCACUUCCAUGACAAACAUGGAUAAUUUUGUGGGAAGGAUAACAAGUUUACAAAAAAACAACAAUAUUUGAUACCUUGCGUAGGCAUUUCAAAGACACCUAAAUUAGUUUGAACUCCUGGAAAGAGAUCGGGGACGUAAUGGUGAUACAUGCUUUAUAAACAAACAAACUCUCGUAUAAACAGAAACUCACUACCUUAAAUUGAUUAUUUUGAGGAAAGGCUACCAGAAAAAAGAUCUUUAUGAUACCUUGUUUAGGGAUUUCAAAGACGACAAUUUGUUUGAACUACUGGAAAGAGAUCGGGAAGACAAUGGGGAUAGAUGCGAUAAAGAAAUCAAUGGAGUUAAAUAAACGUUAAAUCCACGUUAACAGUGGAUAUUUGUCAAAAUCCGAUUUGGAUAUACUUGGCUGUUUUUGAUGCGUAACAUUUAGAAGUUUUUCCAGAUUUAAAAGUGACUACAAAUGCUAACUCCCAUUCGUAUAAACUGGUAGCAUAGCUAGCAUACAGAAAUAGGUGUUGGUAGUUAACUGUAGUUAAAAAACAACAACCUGUAAUGCAGUUGAUUAAUGACAUGAACAUGUAUUGGAGUUGACAUCCGUACAAGCAUUAUACUCCUAUUUCUACCUCAACAUGUGAAAUACACAUAUAAACAGCCUAAAUGUAGGCUAGUUUUUCUGGGGAGCAAUGGUUAGAUUUGCGAUGGGAUGCUGGUGGGAAAACGGUGCAGUCCUCCUACUUCAUGCGCUCUUGGGUGAGCUCUUACGUCAAGCACCAGGAAACUGACGCCACAUCUCAGAUGAGGGUUGCAAAGGGUCGGAAAACUUCUGGAAAAUUUCUGGACAUUUUCCAUAGGAAGAAUCUCCAUACAAAGCCCACCAAGUCUCAGUUGAAGAUGAGCCACAUGUCAACUGUCAAUCAUUCCCUGCCAGAUAUCACUACCUGAAUCUAUAAAGACUCGUAAACUGAACUGCAUCGCUGCCUCCGCCUGCUCUUUAAUUGGAGUCCCACAGUCGAUGGGCAUCGCCACAACCCUCACCUAAACCUCAAUCAGUUACACAAUAUUGUUCAAUUACAAGAUUGCAACAGGCUGUGAACCAAAGUUUUGGUCACUGUUUCUCUGGGCACCCUUAUUAGGGGAAGACAUGCAGGCAAUGCGUAUGCUCAUGUUCAGGCGAGAGCUUUGUACCUGGAAGGUCGUUUGUGUAUAAGCUGUUGUUGGUGUUGGUUUAUUUCUGUGAGCAACCAUGCUGUCUUGAAGAAAUGUUUGGGGUGCGGUCGAUUUGUUCUGAAUGGUACGUGUUGAGUUUGACCAUCAUUGAGUUUAUUCAUUUGACAAUAUUUAAGAUGCUGAUUUAAUGUAAAGCUCCUGCCAUGUCAUUUUGUUUUCAGUUUGUUUGGAGAGGCUUUGCUGGUUUGAGAUCCAGGCAGUUUAUUAGCAGUGCCCUCCAAUAAGUUGACCGUCUUUAAGUAAAGUCAUUUUUGUAUUUCUAAAAUACCUCAUGUUUUUGUAAAUGGAGUGGUUUAACUGUUUAUUUUCACUGUUUUUGGUCAUCUUGUGAACUUGGCCAACUGAAUCUCUGUGAAAUCACUGUUGUAUUUCAGAAAGCUGUGUAGUGGAAGUAACAGGCCGUUAUUGUAAAUAAGAAUUUGUUCUUAAUAACUGGCUUGCCUUGUUAAAUAAAAGGUUUAGUUGUGUUUUAAUCAUUUAAUGUACUCUUGUUCAUGUGUCAAACAAGCAAACCUAAUCCCCUGAGCUUUAAACGUUUGUGGUUGUUCUGCCUCUGUACUGUUUCCAUCUAAUGGGCUUAGAACCU